GUGAUCCUCCUGCCUCAGCCUUCUGAGAUCUGGCAUUGCAGCACUAUGGCUCCCACAACUGGUUUAGAUACCUACCAGCAUUCCAGACUCUGGGGUUUCCUUCUUCCAUUUUAUUCACCCAUGCCUCAUUCCAAGAGUGAGCCAAGUCUACCAAGAGUACCAGCUGGAUGAGGAUGAA
This is a long non-coding RNA of Fukomys damarensis (Damara mole-rat), 178 nucleotides long. RefSeq lists it as uncharacterized. The record is from RefSeq and is a predicted model, not a curated record. The transcript has 2 exons. NCBI's taxonomy places the organism in Eukaryota, Metazoa, Chordata, Mammalia, Rodentia, Bathyergidae.